CGGCUCAGAUUGAACGCUGGCGGCAGGCCUAACACAUGCAAGUCGAGCGGUAACAGGGGUAGCUUGCUCCCCGCUGACGAGCGGCGGACGGGUGAGUAAUGCAUAGGAAUCUGCCCGAUAGUGGGGGAUAACCUGGGGAAACCCAGGCUAAUACCGCAUACGUCCUACGGGAGAAAGGGGGCUUCGGCUCCCGCUAUCGGAUGAGCCUAUGUCGGAUUAGCUGGUUGGUGAGGUAAAGGCUCACCAAGGCGACGAUCCGUAGCUGGUCUGAGAGGAUGAUCAGCCACAUCGGGACUGAGACACGGCCCGAACUCCUACGGGAGGCAGCAGUGGGGAAUAUUGGACAAUGGGGGCAACCCUGAUCCAGCCAUGCCGCGUGUGUGAAGAAGUCCCUCGGGUUGUAAAGCACUUUCAGUGAGGAAGAACGCCUGGUGGUUAAUACCCAUCAGGAAAGACAUCACUCACAGAAGAAGC
This 474-nucleotide ribosomal RNA is filed under the name Halomonas sp. MG82. RNAcentral's name for it is "bacterial SSU rRNA". It matches the Rfam family "Bacterial small subunit ribosomal RNA", at positions 20 to 491 of the family's 1533-position model. Lineage: Bacteria; Pseudomonadati; Pseudomonadota; Gammaproteobacteria; Oceanospirillales; Halomonadaceae. The record is from RNAcentral.